AGCAGCCGCGGUAAUUCCAGCUCCAAUAGCGUAUAUUAAAGUUGUUGCAGUUAAAAAGCUCGUAGUUGAACUUCGGGGUCUACCCAUCGGUCAGGCUUAAUUGUCUGUACUGGUGAGAUGGAUCUCUACCUUCUGAGGAACUUUCAUGCCAUUUAUUUGGUGUGAUUGAAAAUCAGGACUGUUACUUUGAAAAAAUUAGAGUGUUUAAAGCAGACUAUCGUCUGAAUACAUUAGCAUGGAAUAAUGAAAUAGGACGGACUGAUUCUAUUUCGUUGGUUUCUAGGAUCACCGUAAUGAUUAAUAGGGAUAGUUGGGGGCAUUAGUAUUCAAUUGUCAGAGGUGAAAUUCUUGGAUUUAUUGAAGACUAACUACUGCGAAAGCAUUUGCCAAGGAUGUUUUCAUUAAUCAAGAACGAAAGUUAGGGGAUCGAAGACGAUCAGAUACCGUCGUAGUCUUAACCAUAAACUAUGCCGACUAGGGAUCGGACGAAGUUAAUUUUANAAUUGACGCGUUC
This 514-nucleotide ribosomal RNA is filed under the name uncultured Diversispora. RNAcentral's name for it is "SSU rRNA". It matches the Rfam family "Eukaryotic small subunit ribosomal RNA", at positions 569 to 1081 of the family's 1831-position model. The record is from RNAcentral. Lineage: Eukaryota; Fungi; Glomeromycota; Glomeromycetes; Diversisporales; Diversisporaceae.